RNAcentral lists this long non-coding RNA (1413 nucleotides) under Heterocephalus glaber (naked mole-rat). RNAcentral describes it as "lncRNA (ENSHGLG00000036812.1)". Lineage: Eukaryota; Metazoa; Chordata; Mammalia; Rodentia; Bathyergidae. The record is from RNAcentral.
GUUUCAGGAAAUUGGAGCCCUCCGGGGCUUAGCUCUGUGAAGCCAGAGGCUGCUUCCCUGGCAUUGUCUGCGCUCCACACAGUCACCGCUCACAAGUGUUCAGUGCCAGCCCGGGACAAGGAGCCUCCUAGGAUGUGGGCCUUCCAGUGCGAAAAAUGGACAAUCUGGCUCACCUAGGGUGAGGACCCUCUUUCUCCCUUCUGGCUCUAAGUCUACAGGACAUCUGUGAGCUGCUCUGGCUACUCUAAGGCCAUCUUGUUGCUUUACAAGCUGGAGAAGCCCUGUGAACCUGGCUUGACGAUGAAUUCUGUCUUUUGUCUGUAUCUAUCCAUGGGGAGAUUCCCCACAAAUAAACCUGGGCUCCUGGCUUCUCCUCAAAGAAUCAGAAAGGCUGGCAGCUGCACCCACCCACGCUGGGCCGGACACGGAGCAACCCUGGGUCCAAGGCACCCAACUGUUAGUCUGUCCAACCUCUGCCAGCGUCUCCGGCUGAAAUAAUGCAUAUGGUUAAGGACGGGGCUUGGUACACGGGGAGUCCUGGGGAUAUGCACAGCUCGUGUAGCCUCUGGUUCCCACUUAGUAACUGCCUCUCAACUCAAGAGCACUGCAGUCUUCUGGCAGUGAAAAGAAGCAUGGACCUGAUACAGCGACGACAACCUCCGAGCAUGACUCUAAGUGACAGGGCCAUCACCAAAGGCCACACGUGAGUGUGUGAUUCCACCCGCAGGAGGCUGCAGAACAGCCUUACAGGGUCACCAGCUCCGGCCCUGGGACUUGAACACAGCUGAGCCCUCCCCGCGUCUCCUGCAGUAAGAAAGCUGCAGUGCCGGGCAGCUGGAUUUGCUCCUCAAAGAGAUGCGUCCCAGUCCUGACCCUCGGUGCCCGGGAAGGUGGCCUCUUCGGCGUGGAAGCCCUUUGCAGGUGUGAGUGAGGGGCCAGAGGAGCUCGCCCUGGAGUCAGGUGAGCCCCCAUCCGGUGACAGGCGUCCCCACAAGAGAGACAGGACAGGUGAGGACAGAAGCAGAAACGGAGCGCUGCGUCCACAGUCCGAGCACCGAGGGCUCCGGCAGCCGCCAGUGUCUGGGAGAGGCAGGGAAGGCCCUCGGGAGCCUUGCAUAGCCAAGGCUAUGACUCUGACUCCCGUGCAGCCUCCCUUGGACUCCUGGGAUGCACUCUUACUAACCACCAGGUCUAGGGCACUCUGUCACAGCAACGUCAGGCAACUGCUGUGGGACUGGUGAUGUGAUGUUAAGGCAGGGGAAACUGAGGCACAGAGAGGGUGGUGGCUGGGGAUGGGUGCACCACUCAGGAGUGGCGGGCGUGGCUGGCACAGGCGGCCUGGCUCCCUGAGUGCCUGCCGCCUGGGGCAGAUGCACAGAGGCAUCGGGAGGCCCGCGCAAGCGGAUGGCAGAG